CUACGGGUGGCAGCAGUGGGGAAUAUUGGACAAUGGGCGAAAGCCUGAUCCAGCCAUGCCGCGUGUGUGAAGAAGGCCUUCGGGUUGUAAAGCACUUUCAGUGGGGAAGAAAGCCUUGGGGCUAAUACCCUCGAGGAAGGACAUCACCCACAGAAGAAGCACCGGCUAACUCCGUGCCAGCAGCCGCGGUAAUACGGAGGGUGCGAGCGUUAAUCGGAAUUACUGGGCGUAAAGCGCGCGUAGGCGGUCUGAUAAGCCGGUUGUGAAAGCCCCGGGCUCAACCUGGGAACGGCAUCCGGAACUGUCAGGCUAGAGUGCAGGAGAGGAAGGUAGAAUUCCCGGUGUAGCGGUGAAAUGCGUAGAGAUCGGGAGGAAUACCAGUGGCGAAGGCGGCCUUCUGGACUGACACUGACGCUGAGGUGCGAAAGCGUGGGUAGCAAACAGGAUUAGAUACCCGAGUAGC
RNAcentral lists this ribosomal RNA (463 nucleotides) under Vreelandella stevensii. Its description in RNAcentral is "partial 16S ribosomal RNA". It matches the Rfam family "Bacterial small subunit ribosomal RNA", at positions 339 to 794 of the family's 1533-position model. The record is from RNAcentral. Lineage: Bacteria; Pseudomonadati; Pseudomonadota; Gammaproteobacteria; Oceanospirillales; Halomonadaceae.